RNAcentral lists this ribosomal RNA (301 nucleotides) under uncultured bacterium. RNAcentral's name for it is "partial 16S ribosomal RNA". It matches the Rfam family "Bacterial small subunit ribosomal RNA", at positions 509 to 807 of the family's 1533-position model. The record is from RNAcentral.
CAGUCGCCGCGGGAAUACGUAGGUGGCAAGCGUUGUCCGGAAUUAUUGGGCGUAAAGGGCUCGCAGGCGGUUUCUUAAGUCUGAUGUGAAAGCCCCCGGCUCAACCGGGAAGGGUCAUUGGAAACUGGGAAACUUGAGUGCAGAAGAGGAGAGUGGAAUUCCACGUGUAGCGGUGAAAUGCGUAGAGAUGUGGAGGAACACCAGUGGCGAAGGCGACUCUCUGGUCUGUAACUGACGCUGAGGAGCGAAAGCGUGGGGAGCGAACAGGAUUAGAUACCCGCGUAGUCCCUGUCUCUUAUAC